Molecule: long non-coding RNA, 898 nt
Organism: Stegodyphus dumicola
Lineage: Eukaryota; Metazoa; Arthropoda; Arachnida; Araneae; Eresidae
Source: RefSeq, a predicted model, not a curated record
CCUAGCUACGUAUACAUCUCUGUCUACGGUGAAGCCUGAAUUCCUAUCGACCUUAACUAUUUAUUACCUAAAUUAUAAAUUUUCGUGGAGCGCUAACAUAAAGACGGUAAGCGGAGUCGUGCUAAAUUGCGUCAGUUUGUUAUUGUUUAAACAAUGUUAAAAGAAAUAGCUUAUCAGAUUUCAAGAUAAUGAGAAUACGACCACGGCACGUUCUGGUUCCCUAAAGAAAAUUUUGUAUAAAGCGUUAUCAGACUUUUUCUGGGCUCUUAACUGAUGUUUUUUUUUAAUCUUAAAAAGAAAUGAGAAAAACAGAUCCAUUAGGCUUUCGAAGCACGAAUUGUGAAAAAAUGUGCAGUGCUGUUGUAGAGUCAUUACGAGACAUGUACCUGGACCUUCCGAAUAUGCGCUGAUUGUGUUACAGUUACGCCAUGAAGGCAUGCUGGAAAGUAGAAAAUACCUUAUACACUCUCUCUUUUAAAGGACGACUGGGGCACUAGAUGACCCUAUCGCGAAAUCCUGAUGGUGACAAAUUAUUGUCCACCGUCUUUUAGUUCAAGCCAUUUCUUAUCGUUAUUCUGAAGAAGGAGGUGUGAAAAACGUGCAAUGCCGAAACUCGAACCUGGACCUCUCGAAUACGCGCCGAAUGUUCUACCGUUACACUGCGAAGGCGUGCUCGAAAGAAGGAGAAAAUGCCUUAUAUCUUUUCGAUUAUAAUUUGGAAAUUUUAGAUUACCGAGGUUUCGAGAUUUUAUGAUAUUGACGGAAUUUUUAAUUGCAAUGUUGAAAAUUUUCCAAAGGCUUUAAUAGCAGGUUAAAUUACUAAACCAAUUUUAAGCAUUGCUUCUGUUGUGAUCGAAAACCAGUCUGCAAAAUAAAACAAACACCAAUUUCAAGGAGA